RNAcentral lists this ribosomal RNA (497 nucleotides) under uncultured bacterium. Its description in RNAcentral is "partial 16S ribosomal RNA". It matches the Rfam family "Bacterial small subunit ribosomal RNA", at positions 28 to 507 of the family's 1533-position model. The record is from RNAcentral.
GACGAACGCUGGCGGCGUGCCUAAUACAUGCAAGUUGAGCGCACAGGUUAUGUACUUGUUUCCUACGGCUUAGCAGCGAACGUGUGAGUAACGCGUGGAGACUCUGCCUUUGAGCGGGGGACAACAUUUGGAAACGAAUGCUAAUACCGCAUAACAACUUUAAACACAUGUUUUAAUUUUGAAAGAUGCAAUUGCAUUAUUCAAUGAUGAUCCCGCGUUGUAUUAGCUAGUUGGUGAGGUAAAGGCUCACCAAGGCGAUGAUACAUAGCCGACCUGAGAGGGGGAUCGGCCACACUGGGACUGAGGCACGGCCCAAACUCCUACGGGAGGCAGCAGUAGGGAAUCUUCGGCAAUGGACGAAAGUCUGACCGAGCAACGCCGCGUGAGUGAAGAAGGUUUUCGGAUCGUAAAACUCUGUUGGUAGAGAAGAACGUUGGUGAGAGUGGAAAGCUCAUCAAGUGACGGUAACUAACCAGAAAGGGACGGCUAACUACGUG